Molecule: ribosomal RNA, 253 nt
Filed under: uncultured bacterium
Lineage: Bacteria
Description: partial 16S ribosomal RNA
Rfam family: Bacterial small subunit ribosomal RNA
Source: RNAcentral
UACGUAGGGUGCGAGCGUUAAUCGGAAUUACUGGGCGUAAAGCGCACGCAGGUGGCUUAGUGAGUUGGACGUGAAAGCUCCUGGCUUAACUGGGAGAGGUCGUUCGAUACUGCUAGGCUUGAGGUAGGGAGAGGGGUGUGGAAUUCCCGGUGUAGUGGUGGAAUGCGUAGAUAUCGGGAGGAACACCAGUGGCGAAGGCGACACCCUGGCCCUCACCUGACACUGAUGUGCGAAAGCGUGGGUAGCAAACAGG